Diorhabda sublineata is the source of this 2642-nucleotide long non-coding RNA. RefSeq lists it as uncharacterized. The record is from RefSeq and is a predicted model, not a curated record. The transcript is spliced from 3 exons. NCBI's taxonomy places the organism in Eukaryota, Metazoa, Arthropoda, Insecta, Coleoptera, Chrysomelidae.
UACCGAAAUUAAACUUCAAAUUUUUAAAUAAUCAAAUUUAUAAAUCUCCAAAUUUAACCAACAUAGAUUUUGACAAAUUUUACGAAAUAAAUAAAAUUGCUAGAAAUAUAAAACCAAUUAACGAAAUUUAUAAUCCGCAAAGCCAUGUAUCGAUUGGACUAUUUACUAUAAUAAUAACAAUUUGUGUAAUUUUAAUGACAUUAUGGUAAAUUCGAAAAUAUAAAAGUAAAUUUGUAAGAAAACAGAAAUUUGAAGAAAAGAAAAAAGAAAACAUCGAAUUAGAAGAAGGAAGACAACAAGAUAUGAAAAAUACCUCCGUCAUUUUUCAUUCCUAGGGAUGGAGGAAUUACAUGAAGAAAAUUCUAGAAGGACGUUUAUAUAAAACGCAAUUGUGUUAAAUAUCAUAAACACUUUAUUAACAAUUAUUUUAUUAUAAAUACAAAUGAUUGAACUUGGCAAUGAAUAUAUGUAUUGUUCUUGAAUAUAUGGUUCAUUCAAUGAAUAUUAGUUAGUUCGCUUGUGAGAUUAAUUGUAUUCAUUCAACUUAUUGAAAUUUUGUGUAAAAUAAAUUUUUAAAAAUAAUUUUCGAAAACCGAAAAUUAUAAUUCUCACUCUACUACUUGUAUAACUAGAUGAGUCACAGUCAGUGCCACCAGAUGCGGGCCAGAUGUUUGUAGAAAUGCUCGAUAAACACACCCCUCUCCACCCCGCGCCAAGACACGGCCGCGCGCCUAGAUUAUUUGUCCCAUCUGUAGGUUGGUAGUGCAGUUGUUGUACAAGUCGACAAGACACAACCUGCAACCUAAACUGCUCUACUCCUUCCCUGAUUUUCAGAUAUCAGUAUUGUUUCGACAGUGAAUCACUGUGGAACUGUGUAUUAGCUCAGUGUCUGUUAGUGUGAGUGGAGAAUAUAGCACUUUCUGCAUACUCAUUAGUGACUGUUUGUUUCUAUUCUGAAAAUUACGUUUGUGAUAGCGACGUGGCCACCUUAUAAAUGGCUUCCCGGGACCGAGACAUUGGUAGAAAAUACGAAUCAGGGAGUAACAAAAGGAAAAAAGCUGCACAACGAGCCGAACUUGAAGGACAGCUUCAAACCUUUUUAACAAAGUUUUUAAAAACUGAAGUGGGCAAGAAGAAGAUACUGACACCCAAAAGAAAUGCGUAUUGGAUAAUUCAAGUCAGGAAAGUCUCCAGGCACCACAUCAUUCUCAAUUUGAGUGUUCAUCUGAUUCGGCUUCGCAGCCCGUGUCGUCUGCCCCCGUUCAUCUGCUUCAGGCUUCUUCAUUUUCUCAACAGGAACCGCCGUCAGAAGCACCAUCUUCAUCUCUUUCAGAAAAUUUGCCUUUGGAACCGGAACAAAACAGAACUGAGCAGUCUAACUCUGAAGAAAAUUAUUAAAUCGAAGACCACGAUGUAAGUGACUCUUAUUUAUGGCCAAGCAGCCUAACCCAAUCAGAGCGGACUAGAAUUAUUGAGAAGGGUUCUGUAUCCGUUACAGGCGAAAAUUUUCAUAAAAAUGAAAGUGGACGACACUUUAGUGAAGUUCAUUACACUAGGAGUUUGCCAAACGGCGAGCAACAGAGAAGACGAUGGCUUGUCUACUCAAAAUCUAAUGACUCUGUACACUGUUUUGCAUGCAGAUGAUUGGCAACACUUGAGCGUGAUUUUGAAAAGUCCCGAAAUGAACAAAGUCCGUAGACAAUGCAUGAUUAAAUGAUUUGAUCUGGAGAAAGGAUUGAAACUGUCAAACCAUUGACUGUGAAACAGAAGCUCAAAUAAGGUCAGAAGCUCAACGUAUGGAAAGACUACUCGCAGUUGUACAAUUUCUGGCCUCCCACAAUUUAGCGUUUAGGGAUCACAAAGAAACAAUUUCCCCAGAUGAUAUAGAGAGAAGUGGUAAUUUCAUAGAUUUAAUUAAGCUUAUUGCUAAGUUCGACCCUAUUUUAGAAGGACAUUUGAAUAGCAUCUCCAAGAAAGAACAUAUCAGGAACCAUUACUUUGGUAAAGAUACUCAAAAUGAGUUUAUCCAACUUAUGGCAAACCACGUAGUAUCAAAAAUAACAGAAAAGUUAUUGAAAAACAAAUACUAUACCAUCAUUCUCGAUUGUACACGUGAUAUAGCAAGGGUUGAGCAACUGUCCGUAGUUUUGGGAACUACUGACCUAGAAACUGCUAAAAUUGAAGAACACUUUGUUGGGUUUGUUGCAGUUGACACAACCACCGCCGAGGGUUUCACCGAAUACUUACUAAAGGAACUUGAAAAGCUAGGUCUGAAUUUAGCCAAUUGCAGGGGACAGAGCUGUGAUAAUGGUUCAAAUAUGCGAGGGGUUCAGAAUGGUGUGCAACGAAAGAUUUUGAAUCUCAUUGAACUCAUUGGCAUUUUUUGUACCCUGUGGAAGCCAUAGUUGAACUUGGUUUUAGGUGACGCUGCAUCAUCCAGUGUACAGGCACAAGUUACAUACGCCGCUUAUCGAGGAAACUUAAAAGCGCAGCAGAAACAUUAUACUUUCUGAGAAAUUGUUACUUAACAACAUAUGUAGAUAAAUCUUACUUUCUUGUAAUUUCAUUUAAUAUAAUUCAUUCUCUGUUUAGAUCUCUAACAAUAAACUUGUAAUUGCUUGAAUAAAUACAUUUUUUAAAAA